Molecule: long non-coding RNA, 2170 nt
Organism: Panicum hallii
Lineage: Eukaryota; Viridiplantae; Streptophyta; Magnoliopsida; Poales; Poaceae
Exons: 2
Source: RefSeq, a predicted model, not a curated record
GCGGCACUGGCGCCGCCAACGCGAGCGGCGCAACCUCUGUACGAUUAUCGAUGCCAUUAGCUUGUACCUUCGCAUCUAUAGAUGCGAUGUUUCUUGGGUCAUAAACUCGUCGUCUGCAAGCUUUCAGUUACCCGAUACAUCAUGAAUUGGUGAUGACAAUAAUACGUGGUGUUCUGGUUUCGUGGGUCAUGUUCUGUUGGCUUUUAUGUUCCGUGAUCUGUGUGACUUCGCUAUUGAUGGAUCUUUUGAAUAUCAUAACUAGCAUACAGGGUGCAUGGGCUAUUGUAAGAGAACUCUUGCCAUCUGUAAACAACAGUCUACUAGCAUGUUGAAACUGGAAAGUAUAUUAUGUUGUUGUUUUGCGGUACUGUCAACCCCAUGCAGAACUUGAUGAUGUGAGUAUAUCUAGCUGCUUAAAUAGCUUAUGCUUGUCAAGGACAUAACAGGAUUUAGUUCACCAUGGUUCUAAUAUACCAAAAGGCAUUCUGAUGAAAUUCUAGCUUGAUGACAUAUGUUACCAUAUAAUUCUAGUGAGUUGCUGAUCUUAGCAACUGAAAGGUAGUGUCAGACUAGACAUAUUUCCUUUUAUUUCUAUUUCAGUUACAAACAGAAUUGGCUUGUUAUUUUUAAUGGAAUGAAAUAAAUAUUCACGCUUUCUGACAUAGAAUCCCCUGGAAGGGUUAGGUGAGGAAUAGGUUAUUUUCACAAAAUAAAAGUGGGAAAAGGGAAUAUUUUAUACUACUGUACUGUUUAUUUCUUGAUGAGAAGUACUUGGCACGGUAUAUGUUGUUAAAUACUUGCAAUAUGAGUGGGUCAGUUGUGCAUGUCUGUUACUACAGUGAGAGCUAUGAAAUCAAGGAGAGUAACUUAAAUGUGGGAACUGUUGCACACAAAGGAUGGUCAAAAGAAUGUAGGUGUUUGCCGCUGCAUUAGGGUAUUUCUGUGGAUUGAAUAUAUAUUUGUAGAUGAUUCAAUGAACAUACUACUUUGUCAUGUCAUUGACAUAUCAGUUGUGCACUUUCUCAAAUUCAUUGUGCAAUAGGCUGAAAUAUUAUUGUAAGCAUUUGUAUAUUAUUUGAAUCACCGUGCAUGUCUCAGGGAGUCAGGGGUAUGUCAUAUCCAUUCUGCAUUAUAUUAGGAAGGAAGGUUGAGAAUGUUAAUUGAAAACCUCUUUGUUGUUUUAUCAAUUGUAAUGUAUUAAUUUUGUUUGGUGUUCCUCCUAUAGUUCUUUGGGGUUAUGGGUUUUCCAUUCUGUAAACUGCAGAUCUAUUUCUGUAAAAUUUGACCUGGUAUUUAUUUAGAAUUGGUUUUGUUGUGUAGGUUUUUUUCUUCCACAUCAGUAAUCAUUUACAUGUAAUACACUUGUGUAUGAUACUAACUUUAUGAUUAUUUUUUUCCAUUAUAAAAUGAGCAUAGUUUGGUGACAUUUUAGUGUUUUUAUUGAGUUUACAUAAUCUGCUAUGAAAUGUAAUUCGUGACCAAUGUCUCAAUUUUCUUGUUAUAAACAUGUGCUCAGCCUUUUCUUCAUCCAAUGAAAUGAAAGAAUUAUUUGAGAUUAUUUGGAUCUCUUCGUUCUUAGUUCUGUUAAAAUGGUGCUGGUAUGAGCAAGGAGUUAUAUGGUUACAAUAUUUUGUUAUGUGGGGCUACAUUAGAGUGGUUUUCUCUUGUUAUUCUCACACUAGUUCAAAAUCAGGUUGGAAGGGAGCAAACACCCGUGUCUAGAGAAAAAUGUUUUUGGGCUCACUGCAUUUUGUAGAUUUGAAUUUAAGUUUUUUCUAUUCUGUAUAAAUGCAAGUGUUUGCCAGUAUGUCCAACCUGGUCUUUUUGUACAACACUACAGGUUGGGUUGUGCAUGGUAGCGUGCCAGCAUUUGGAAGGAACCAAUGCUGAUGUUCAUUGUAUACCUCAAUGAAGUUGUGGUCACGAUGGACUGAUUGGCAACCAGCAUCUAGGACUCCAAGCUCUCAAUCUCCUUCCUCUCCAUCUUCAAGUAAUCCAGGCCGUUCACCUCCUGCUUCCUCAACAGGCGCAGCUUCUUAUCAUGCUUCUGCUUUUACCCCUUAUAAUUCUGCUUGCGGUUUAGGAAAAUGUCACAAUCCUAUGAAGAGGAACAACAAAGAUAUUUCUUUAAAGCUGAUAAAGCUAGAAGACACGAUUGCUUAUGAAUAUC